This 27-nucleotide non-coding RNA is filed under the name Bombyx mori (domestic silkworm). The record is from RNAcentral. Lineage: Eukaryota; Metazoa; Arthropoda; Insecta; Lepidoptera; Bombycidae.
AACGUUCUGAUGGAUGACCUGCUCGCC